UACGUAGGUGGCAAGCGUUACUCGGAAUCACUAGGCGUAAAGCGCAGGUAGGAGGUUUGGUAAGUCUGUUGUGAAAGCUCCCGGCUUAACUGGGAGAGGUCAACGGAAACUGCCAGGCUGGAGUGUGGUAGAGGUAGCUGGAAUUCCCGGUGUAGCGGUGAAAUGCGUAGAUAUCGCUUGGAACGCCGACGGCGAAAGCAGCUGACUGGGGGUGAGCCGACGCUGAGACACGAAAGCCAGGGGAGCGAACGGG
Molecule: ribosomal RNA, 253 nt
Filed under: uncultured bacterium
Lineage: Bacteria
Description: partial 16S ribosomal RNA
Rfam family: Bacterial small subunit ribosomal RNA
Source: RNAcentral